AUUUCUACGACCAAACGCCUGCCAAAAAAGAAUAGUGGAAAUUUUGCAGUAUUUAAUUACCAAGAAAGGUCAUCUCUCUCUUUCUGUUUUUCAUUCUGUUGCGCCCUUUACUUUGACCAGAAUUACAGACUAGAUGAAGAUUGAUGAAGGUUUCAUGGGCUUUUAUGACUAUGAGGCAGGAUUGGCAAUUAAAUCAGAGGAUGAAGCCUGUCCAUUUUUCCCUGAUCCGAAUCUUAUGAAUAAUCUCAGAGUUAGUGAUAAUUUAGUCAACAGUAAUGCUGACAUUAGUCCAUUUCAAUCUGUUGUGGAACUAUAUACUGAAGCUCGUUCAUUUUUCCCUGAUCCGAAUCUGAUUAAUAAUCUCAGAGUUGGUGAUAAUUUAGUCAACAGGAAUGUUGACAUUAGUUCAUUUCAAUCUGUUACGGAACCAAAUACUGAAGCCCGUUCAUUUUUCCCUGAUCAGAAUCUGAUUAGUAAUCUCCGAGUUAGUGAUAGUUUAGUCGACAGCAAUGUUGGCAUCAGUCAAUUUCAAUCUGAUGUGGAACCAAAUGCUUUUGUCCCAUCGACUGCAGAUGAUGCCUUUCACGAGGAUUAUGAUUUCAGUGAUGUGGUGCUUAAGUAUAUAAAUCAAAUGCUUAUGGAAGAGGACAUUGAAGAAAAGAAUUGCAUGUUUCAAGAGCCUGCAGCUCUUCAAGCUGCAGAAAGAUUGUUUUAUGAUCUUAUCGGACAGAAGUACCCUCCCCAAAAUCACGAGAAACCAUCCAAUUUAGGUCAGAAUGGACAUUAUACUGACCAUAGCAGUUUUUCCUAUAGUGAAUAUGAUGGUAGUGAUGACGUGUCACAUGUGCCUCAUGUUACUGAUGGUGUUGCUUUGCAUUCAACUUCUCGGUCAUCCUAUAGUUCGUCUGGCAAUUUAGGUCAACAUGGACAUUAUACUGCGGACCAUAGCAGUUUUUACUGUAGCAGAAAUGAUGGUCGUAGUGAUGGCUUAUUAUGCCCAAAUUGGAAUCUUGAUCUCGGUGAGGAUGAUGUGUCACAUGUUUCCGAUGAUGUUGCUUUGCAUUCAACUUCUCGGUCGUCCUACAGUUCGUCAGGUACUAUCACGGAUGUGCAUGUGGAUUCUCCUGUGAUCACAGAAAGGGUUCCCGACAUAUUUAGCGACAGAGAGUCUAUUAUGCAGUUUAAGAAAGGGGUGGAGGAGGCAAGUAAGUUCCUUCCUACGGGCAAUAGCUUGCUUGCUGAUGUGAGAUAUAAUGUAGCGGGAAAGGAGCAGUAUGAAGAGAGAAAAGAUGCAGUACUAAAGUAUGGGCAAAAACAAUCUCCCGAAAGGUCGAGAGGGAAGAAAAAUACCCUUCAUGAAGAUGUAGUAGAUUCAACAGAAGGGAAAAAUAACAAGCAAUCUGCAGUGUUUUCUGAAUCAAUUGUUCGAUCAGAAAUGUUUGAUAGCGUGCUCUUAUGCAAUGCAGGAAAAAAUGAAUCUGCUCUUCGUGAGACCUUUCAGGCUAUAUCAAGGCAAAAUGCAUUAGAGAAUGGCCCUUCAAAGGGAUCUAAUGGCAAGAAGUUACAAGGAAAGAAAAAAAGGGGUAAAAGAGAUGUAGUAGACUUGAGAACUCUCCUUACAAAUUGUGCACAAGCUGUUGCUGCAGGUAAUCAAAGAACAGCAAAUGAGCUUCUGAAGCAGAUCAGGCAAAGUUCUUCUCCUUUGGGUGAUGGGAUGCAGAGGCUGGCCCAUUAUUUCGCUGAUGGGCUUGAAGCCCGGAUGGCUGGUUCCGGUACUCAUAUUUAUAAAGCCCUUAUUACACGGCCCGUAUCAGCAUCUGAUGUAUUGAAAGCUUACCACCUACUGCUUGCUGCCUGCCCGUUUCGGACGAUGUCUAGCUUUUUCUCGAAUAAGACAAUUAUGAAUCUAGCUGAAAAGGCUUCGACAGUACAUAUUAUAGAUAUUGGCAUUAUGUGGGGUUUCCAAUGGCCUGGUCUAAUACAACGUCUCUCUUCUAGACUAGGUGGACCCCUCAAGCUUCGUAUAACCGGGAUUGAUUUUCCGCAUCCUGGUUUCCGACCAGCAGAGAGAGUUGAGGAAACGGGGAGACGGUUAGCUAAUUAUGCUGAGAGCUUCAAUGUUCCUUUCGAGUUCAAUGCUAUAGCGCAGAAGUGGGAAACGGUUAAACUUGAGGAUCUUAAGAUCAAUAAGGGUGAGGUUCUUGUGGUAAACUGUCUGUACCGUUUUAGGAAUCUACUUGAUGAGACUGUGGUGGUGAAUAGUCCAAGAGAUGUUGUUCUGAAUCUUAUCAGGCAGUUGAAUCCAGAUGUUUUCAUACAGGGGAUUGUAAAUGGUGGUUAUAAUGUCCCAUUCUUUAUCUCACGAUUCCGCGAGGCUAUUUUUCACUACUCGUCGUUGUUUGAUAUGCUUGAUGCUAUUAUUCCCCGGGAAGUACAUGAGAGAAUGCUGGUUGAAAAGAAUAUACUUGGUCGGGAGGCAAUGAAUGUCAUCGCGUGCGAAGGUGCUGAGAGAAUUGAGAGGCCAGAAACAUACAAGCGGUGGCAAGUCCGAAUUAUGAAGGCUGGUUUUCGACAGCUUCCUUUGGAUGAGGAGAUCAUGAGAAUGACAACAGAACGGUUCAAGGUGUUUGACAAGAACUUCGGGAUUGAUGUAGAUAGUGAAUGGCUACUGCAGGGAUGGAAGGGUCGUAUCGGAUAUGCACUUUCAACAUGGAAGGCAGCUUAUUAAAUUUGUUUACGUUCAGCAGCCAUGAUAUCUCUCUGCCCCUUGUAAACAAUGAGCUGAUGAAUGCUAUGAUGAUUUUCUUAUUCCUCAGAUGUCAGAGCAGAAUUUCUUGUUUUGGCUUCUUAAUUGAUGGACAAGUGCACGAGAUGUUUUUACUAGAUGUCCUAUGUUUACUUUAUAUAAUGUAAUUUUUUGAUGACCAAGUACAUUGAACAAGAUUUUUGUGUUGUCAAGUGUAUACAUGAUAAAAUAUAGCUUGACACAUGGCAUGACGAGAAGGGAACACGUGGCAUUUGAAGGCGAAAUGCCGCUUAGUCAUUUAACUUGGUUGGAACGAGAGACCCCGGUUAACCCCGGAGCAAACUUGUCAAGUCAAUUGUUUCGGGUCAUUUAUUAAAGAUAAACGUUGUGUGACCGGUCGGGGUUCAAAGCAGACGUUACGACUUAAAAUUACAACAACAUUUAUUAUCUAUUAUUACUCAUUAUUAGAAUUUAAUUACAGAUUAAGUGCUGAUGUAUUUUGUACUAUAAAAGGAGCCUGAAGGCCUCUAAAAAAGAUCAUCAAAUAACAACAACUUACACA
Molecule: RNA transcript, 3308 nt
Organism: Lycium ferocissimum
Lineage: Eukaryota; Viridiplantae; Streptophyta; Magnoliopsida; Solanales; Solanaceae
Gene name: scarecrow-like protein 33
Exons: 3
Source: RefSeq, a predicted model, not a curated record